UAUGGCAGAUUAGUGCAAAGGAUUUAAAACCCUUAUAGAAAGAUGAUAAUUUUAUCUUUUAUUAAAA
This 67-nucleotide transfer RNA is filed under the name Harpagoxenus canadensis. RNAcentral describes it as "tRNA-Leu". The record is from RNAcentral. Lineage: Eukaryota; Metazoa; Arthropoda; Insecta; Hymenoptera; Formicidae.